UUAUUUGAGAGUUUGAUCCUGGCUCAGGAUGAACGCUGGCGGCGUGCCUAACACAUGCAAGUUGAGCGAUUUACUUCGGUAAAGAGCGGCGGACGGGUGAGUAACGCGUGGGUAACCUACCCUGUACACACGGAUAACAUACCGAAAGGUAUGCUAAUACGGGAUAAUAUAUUUGAGAGGCAUCUCUUGAAUAUCAAAGGUGAGCCAGUACAGGAUGGACCCGCGUCUGAUUAGCUAGUUGGUAAGGUAACGGCUUACCAAGGCGACGAUCAGUAGCCGACCUGAGCGGGUGAUCGGCCACAUUGGAACUGAGACACGGUCCAAACUCCUACGGGAGGCAGCAGUGGGGAAUAUUGCACAAUGGGCGAAAGCCUGAUGCAGCAACGCCGCGUGAGUGAUGAAGGCCUUCGGGUCGUAAAACUCUGUCCUCAAGGAAGAUAAUGACGGUACUUGAGGAGGAAGCCCCGGCUAACUACGUGCCAGCAGCCGCGGUAAUACGUAGGGGGCUAGCGUUAUCCGGAUUUACUGGGCGUAAAGGGUGCGUAGGCGGUCUUUCAAGUCAGGAGUGAAAGGCUACGGCUCAACCGUAGUAAGCUCUUGAAACUGGGAGACUUGAGUGCAGGAGAGGAGAGUGGAAUUCCUAGUGUAGCGGUGAAAUGCGUAGAUAUUAGGAGGAACACCAGUUGCGAAGGCGGCUCUCUGGACUGUAACUGACGCUGAGGCACGAAAGCGUGGGGAGCAAACAGGAUUAGAUACCCUGGUAGUCCACGCUGUAAACGAUGAGUACUAGGUGUCGGGGGUUACCCCC
Molecule: ribosomal RNA, 808 nt
Filed under: Clostridioides difficile
Lineage: Bacteria; Bacillati; Bacillota; Clostridia; Peptostreptococcales; Peptostreptococcaceae
Description: bacterial SSU rRNA
Rfam family: Bacterial small subunit ribosomal RNA
Source: RNAcentral